RNAcentral lists this non-coding RNA (28 nucleotides) under Homo sapiens (human). The record is from RNAcentral. Lineage: Eukaryota; Metazoa; Chordata; Mammalia; Primates; Hominidae.
UAUGGCUCAAACCAACAGGACAAUUUGC